RNAcentral lists this long non-coding RNA (2447 nucleotides) under Homo sapiens (human). RNAcentral's name for it is "HSALNT0168100". Lineage: Eukaryota; Metazoa; Chordata; Mammalia; Primates; Hominidae. The record is from RNAcentral.
AUAGAAUGUAAACAAAAUGGGGUAGGUCGGGGGUUGUUACCUGUUUUCUUCACUGUUACAUCUCUAGCACCUCUGAUAGUACCAGGCUGAUGGCAGAUGCUCAGUGUGUAUUUGUGGAAUGAAUGGAUAGAUGGAUUGAUAAAUGGAUUCAUGACACCACUUUUCUCAGUUACCUGGUCCCCAACCCCAUGGUGAUACUUGACUCAUCCUUCUUCCUCCUCUGCAGAAUCUAGUAAUUUCCAUGUCUAUGGAGAUUAUCUCUGCAUCCCUCCCUGCCCUCCCCCUUUGCGUUUCCACUUCUACUCUCUAAGCUCCUUGGGAACAGAGGCUCCUCACCGACAUUUCCCCCAUGGGGCUCGGCACAGGGUCUUGGCAAUGACAAUUCUCACUGAUCCAGCCUUUACAAUUUUCCAAGAAUUUUUCACAUCAUCUUGCUCUACCUAGGGCAGAUUCAGGACUUGAACCUCAGUCUUCAACUCUAAAUAACUUACUGUUGUUAUUCUCAUUCCACUGUUGUUCUGAUUUGUCCAUAAUUUAUGAUGAAUGAAUGAAAGAGUACUCAAGAGUGAUUGUAGAGGAAAAACUGAAAAAGGGAAGACCAUGUUGACACAAAAGGACAGAAAAGAACAGGAAAACAAGUGAAUGGAAGUGGGGGAAGAGGGGGUAACUAAAAGCUGGGCCUGGAGAGGACAACCUCGCAGGGAUUAGAUUACUCUGUGUCCCACUGUCUUCUAAUAUAAGACAGAAAGUCAGGUAGCCAACCCAGGAGAAGAUGCCAGAGACAAAGGGGCAGGGAAGUUCUGAAUCCAAAGGAGAUAUUUUCUAUCAGUUUGUGAGUUUAUUACUUAUAAGCAAUAAGUAUUAAAAAUAUAAGCAAUUCCCCUGGGCAAAAAUUAUAAAGGACAAAAAAAUGUAUAAAAAAUAAAAUUAAAAUCACCAGUUAUUGCACCAUCCAGAAAAUGUCAUUCUAAUAUUUUGAUGUAUAUCUUUUCAGACUAUGUAAGUAAUCAUAAAUGUAAAAUAAGUAGAGGCACUUAUAUUUUAUAUAUUAUAGUAUAUAUAUUACAAUAUACGUAUCAUGUAUAUACUUGUGUAUAUACACUUGUGUGUGUGUAUAUAUAUAAUAUAUAUACACUAGCAUACACACAAUCUGUUGUUAAUAAAAUGAGAUACAUACAGUUUUGUAACCUGCUUUUGUUCACUUAAUAACAUGUUAUGAACACAAAGGAGUUUUUAUAAGCCCAAAGGGCAGUUUGAAAAGAUAACCUUUGGGAUAAACAGGAAGCCAGAGAAGAUAUAUGAACAUAAAAUGAGCAGCUAAGCUCUGUGGUUUUGAUAAAUACUGUUAAAGUAAAUAAAACUUAAAUGCCCUGCCAGGUUAGGUAAUGAUUAGCUCCCUAUCAGCAAGGCCACUAAUUCAUAGACUCAUAGGAUGUUGGUUCUUGAAGGUGCCUUUGAGGUUAUCUAAAUCAAUCCCCUUACCUUCAGCAUUGAGAAACUACACACCCAGAGACAUUGAAUAACAUGCCUAAAGUGCUAUGACUGGUAAACCACAGAGCCAGGAUGACAGCCAAGUCCCCUGACUCCCAGUCCAGUGCUCUUACCACCAAACCACACUGAUCAACAAUGUAUGUGCACUUCAGCUACAUGAACUGAUGUGCAGAAUGGAACAGGGAGUGAUGCGGCCCUAGAUCCAGUGGUUCUCUGGGUGUAUAACAUUGCCGAAGGGGUGUGUGUUAAGAGAGCAGCAAAGUGUCCCUGGGCAGGCCACUGACGAGACAGCAGAGUUCAGUAGUGAGGAGUGCUUGGCCCUGAUGUUCGCUUAUUGAUCUUGCUGUACCUCUGGGCAAUUUACAUAAACUUUUUAGCCUCCAUGUUCUUAUCUUUAAAAAGGAGAUAAGAGUGGUAUCUACCUCAUCAGGUUGCAGUGAGAAUUAAGAGAAAAUGCACACAAAGGGCUUAACAAGGUGCUUGGCAUAUAGAAAGGGCUCAAUAAAUGUGAGCCAUCAUGAUUAUUAAUGCUCUGGCAUAAAGGCCAAUGUCCUUGUAAACUUUAAAAGGAGUUUAAGGUCAUAUGAUAGCUGUCCUUGGCUGCAGACAUCUAUAGGGAAAGGGGACUCAGAAGGAAGCCCAACAAAGUACAGUAACUAAGAGACAUCAUCAUCAUCCAAAGGAGGACAUGUGGCCCAGGAUGGAGCUGUAAGCGACUGGAGACUCAGGGACUGUUCAGUACUCUCACUGGAAGUCCCCCCCAACAAGCCACAGUGAGGCCAUCCUCAUAUUCCUUGGGCCAGCCACUUAUUAUACAAAUCAAGGGUGAAGAAACAUUUUUCUUCAUUUUCCAAUCAAUUUUUUUUUCUUUUGAGAUGGAGUCUCGCUCUGUCACCCAGGCUGGAGUGCAGUGGCCCAAUCUCAGCUCACUGCAACCUCCACCUCCCUGCUUCAAG